UUUUUUCAUGAGCGUUGUAUUCAUGAGAAUUUAGAGAAGACUGAAUACGUUCUCAGGAACAGGAUGUGAAUGAAGCCUACAUAUACAUAAAUCAAAAUGACACAGCUUUAUAAUUAAAUUGAAACAAAAGUUAGGCGUUCGCUAUCACGUGACCAAACUGUGGAGUGAGCUGUCAGAUUCAAUUGCUCACAGGUGGUGAUAAUGCAGGGCAAGCAAUAAGAAGUGAAAUUUAAAUUUGUGGAUUAAACACUUGCUAUACAGCUGCAUUUAGAAGCGAUACACGAUUGUAACAAAGAAAUUAAGUCAGAGACUGCAAGGAAAACAAAUGUUGUGGCGGUACAUGUAACAAUGAAAUCGAAGACCAUGCAUAAAGAAGUGUAUAAAGUAUGAGUCCGUAUGACAAAGAUCAAGAUGAAGAAAACGGGAGGGGACGAAGGGACGGAAAAAAGAGCGGGAAUACAACAAAAGGACUAUAAUAAAGGAAGUGAGCCCUGAUUAAGAACUUUUAAUUGAUAAUUUUUCAUAAUUUACCUCUAUUGUCUAUUUCAAAAUUUAUUUUGUAAAUUAUGAUUGAAUUGAUGUAUAUAAAAUAAUAUCACAGUGAA
Long non-coding RNA from Saccostrea cuccullata (small rock oyster), 605 nucleotides. RefSeq lists it as uncharacterized. NCBI's taxonomy places the organism in Eukaryota, Metazoa, Mollusca, Bivalvia, Ostreida, Ostreidae. The transcript has 2 exons. The record is from RefSeq and is a predicted model, not a curated record.